AUUGAACGCUGGCGGCAGGCCUAACACAUGCAAGUCGAACGAGUGGCGGACGGGUGAGUAAUGUCUGGGAAACUGCCUGAUGGAGGGGGAUAACUACUGGAAACGGUAGCUAAUACCGCAUACCAUCAGAUGUGCCCAGAUGGGAUUAGCUAGUUGGUGGGGUAACGGCUCACCAAGGCGACGAUCCCUAGCUGGUCUGAGAGGAUGACCAGCCACACGGGAACGGGGAAACGGCCCAGACCCCUACGGGAGGCAGCAGUGGGGAAUAUGGCAAAAUGGGGGAAAGCCGGAGGCAGCCAUGCCGCGUGUAUGAAGAAGGCCUUGGGGUUGUAAAGUACUUUCGGCGGGGAGGCGUUACCCGAAGAAGAAGCACCGGCUAACUCCGUGCCAGCAGCCGCGGUAAUAC
This 406-nucleotide ribosomal RNA is filed under the name uncultured bacterium. RNAcentral's name for it is "partial 16S ribosomal RNA". It matches the Rfam family "Bacterial small subunit ribosomal RNA", at positions 29 to 526 of the family's 1533-position model. The record is from RNAcentral.